GACGAACGCUGGCGGCGUGCUUAACACAUGCAAGUCGAACGGAAAGGCCCUGCUUUUGUGGGGUACUCGAGUGGCGAACGGGUGAGUAACACGUGAGUAACCUGCCCUUUACUUUGGGAUAACUUCAGGAAACUGGGGCUAAUACCGGAUAGGAGCUCCUGCUGCAUGGUGUGGGUUGGAAAGUUUCGGCGUUUCGGGAUGGACUCGCGGCUUAUCAGCUUGUUGGUGGGGUAGUGGCUUACCAAGGCUUUGACGGGUAGCCGGCCUGAGAGGGUUACCGGCCACAUUGGGACUGAGAUACGGCCCAGACUCCUACGGGAGGCAGAAGUGGGGAAUAUUGCAAAAUGGGCGGAAGCCUGAUGCAGCAACGCCGCGUGCGGGAUGACGGCCUUCGGGUUGUAAACCGCUUUCGCCUGUGACGAAGCGUGAGUGACGGUAAUGGGUAAAGAAGCAACGGCUAACUACGUG
Molecule: ribosomal RNA, 468 nt
Filed under: uncultured bacterium
Lineage: Bacteria
Description: partial 16S ribosomal RNA
Rfam family: Bacterial small subunit ribosomal RNA
Source: RNAcentral